Molecule: unclassified non-coding RNA, 386 nt
Filed under: Hevea brasiliensis (rubber tree)
Lineage: Eukaryota; Viridiplantae; Streptophyta; Magnoliopsida; Malpighiales; Euphorbiaceae
Source: RNAcentral
AAGAAGAAGAAGUCGCCUACACAGGAUAUAAUUUGAAUCAGCUAAAAACCAUGUUUGCAGAGUAUUAUUAAAUCAAGAAAAAGCCAUUCCACCUAAUAAUGAAAUAUAAACAGCUUAGAAUUAAUGAAUCCAACAAUGAAUCUGACGGACAAGGCAACAUCGCAGUUCACAAAACUUGAUUCAAACUGACUGAACUAUCAUACUAGAACAAAAUCAUUGUAAUAAAACACAUUUGGACAAACAAAUUCACAAGGAACAAUAAUAAACCUAGUCAUACCAAAGUUUCUUACAAUAUAGAUCAUGAACUAUACCCAAAUGAAACCCUAUAGGUGACUACGCAGAUGGAAGUGAGGGUGACGCAGAGCAUUAAUGAAUCUGAAUUUCUA